Molecule: non-coding RNA, 487 nt
Organism: Malus domestica (apple)
Lineage: Eukaryota; Viridiplantae; Streptophyta; Magnoliopsida; Rosales; Rosaceae
Source: RefSeq, a predicted model, not a curated record
GUUAGAUAUUUGUAUAAGUGGUGUGUGAUGAUUUUUCUUGUUUAUAGAUAAGGAAGAGAAGGACAAGGGGAUGACACAAGUCGACGAACACCCUGGAAGUUGAAUAUCAAGAAAUUGUGUUGAGGUGUGUAGAGUCGACUAGCUGAUUUUCAAGUGGCAGCUCUAGUGUGGGUUAGUUGACGGGAGUCCAGGCGUACACUUCUUUUGGGUGAGCUGCCAAAGUGUUUGUAUAGUUAGUUUCUGUUUGUAAAUGAUCAUUUUGUGGCGUAGUAGACUAAAAUGAUGUCGACCUCGGUGGGUUGGAGAUUCUACUUACCUGGGCUAUGAAAACCAUGUAUAUAUAACUACUCGUCUUUUGGCUUGUAUAGUUUUGCUCAUGUACAUUUUCCUCAAAUAGCAUGAAAAUGUUUUCUUGUUAGAAGCCCUAAAGGUCUUUUGUGAACUUAUUUUAAUCUGUAAGGUUUUAUGAAUGGCUCUUGAAGAACCA